AGAAGCACCGGCUAACUCCGUGCCAGCAGCCGCGGUAAUACGGAGGGUGCAAGCGUUAAUCGGAAUUACUGGGCGUAAAGCGCACGCAGGCGGUUUGUUAAGUCAGAUGUGAAAUCCCCGGGCUCAACCUGGGAACUGCAUCUGAUACUGGCAAGCUUGAGUCUCGUAGAGGGGGGUAGAAUUCCAGGUGUAGCGGUGAAAUGCGUAGAGAUCUGGAGGAAUACCGGUGGCGAAGGCGGCCCCCUGGACGAAGACUGACGCUCAGGUGCGAAAGCGUGGG
Molecule: ribosomal RNA, 280 nt
Filed under: Escherichia coli
Lineage: Bacteria; Pseudomonadati; Pseudomonadota; Gammaproteobacteria; Enterobacterales; Enterobacteriaceae
Also listed under: 1 other name
Description: partial 16S ribosomal RNA
Rfam family: Bacterial small subunit ribosomal RNA
Source: RNAcentral